UACAGAGGUGGCAAGCGUUGUUCGGAAUUACUGGGCGUAAAGCGUGCGUAGACGGUUAUUUAAGUCAGGUGUGAAAGCCCCGGGCUCAACCUGGGAAUUGCAUUUGAGACUGAAUAGCUAGGGUGCGGAAGAGGGAAGCGGAAUUUCCGGUGUAGCGGUGAAAUGCGUAGAUAUCGGAAGGAACACCAGUGGCGAAAGCGGCUUCCUGGUCCAGCACCGAUGUUCAGGCACGAAAGCGUGGGGAGCAAACAGG
This 253-nucleotide ribosomal RNA is filed under the name uncultured bacterium. RNAcentral's name for it is "partial 16S ribosomal RNA". It matches the Rfam family "Bacterial small subunit ribosomal RNA", at positions 524 to 776 of the family's 1533-position model. The record is from RNAcentral.